This 276-nucleotide unclassified non-coding RNA is filed under the name Hevea brasiliensis (rubber tree). Lineage: Eukaryota; Viridiplantae; Streptophyta; Magnoliopsida; Malpighiales; Euphorbiaceae. The record is from RNAcentral.
GGAACUUAGAAAUGAAAAAUAGAAAACUUAUGAAACUAUUUAUUUGUUUAUUGUGUUUUUAAUGGGAAAUGAUUGAAAGUAAAAGCCAGUUCAUCUUAUAUUUUUCACAUAUAAUAUAGCUAGCAAAUGUAUUAUAUAGCUGAAGAUUAUAGAAUAAAAGUAAUAUGCUCCUCGCUCAUAGAAAAGUGGGUACUCCUCGAAAAGUGGAUACUCCUCUUAAUAUGAGUGGGUCCCACAAUUAUGUCAGAGAUGAAGCAUGUGCAUCAGGGGCGUCUA